GGGAUCAGCUCAACUUGGAAAUUGUGGCCCCCGUGGCCUUGAAUUGUAAUCCCGAGAUGCGCUGCCAACAGAGGUGUGGAUGUAAGCCUUUUGGAAGAGAGGAGUGCCCACGAGGGUGAGAGCCCCGUCUGUCGUUCGCAGCCCCCUGAGCACGGCGCGCCCUCCAAGAGUCGCGUUUCUCGAAAUCGGAGCGUAAAGCGGGUGGUAAGCCUCAUUUCAAGCUAAAUAUUGUCUCGAGACCGAUAGGAAAAAAGUACCAUGAGGGAAAGGUGAAAAGAACUUUGAAAAGAGAGUUAAAAGUGUCUGAACUUGCUGAAAGGGAAGCGAAUGGAACCAGUGCUGCAUGGCGAGAUUGUCGCGCGCCGCGGCAUUCCCAGAGGGCGCGCGGUGCUUCUUGCCUUGUGCGUCCACAUCAGCUCGUGGCCCGAGGAAACCUCUAGGGACAUGGCAGUUCGCCGCUCGCGGCCCAAAUGUGCCUGGCAGAACUCGUUCGUGAGCUGAAGUUCGGGUGUCUGAUUGCAGCGCUCCCCACCCGGGUGCCCCCCUGACAUUUGGAGGGCGAUGAAACGGUUCCAUUCGACCCGUCUUGAAACACGGACCAAGGAGUCUAAUGCGUGCGCGAGUCCACGGGUGAUGAAAACCUGCUUGCGAAGUGAAAGCAACUGCUGGGAUGUCUGCACCAGCAACCGACCAAUCAAUCAAGAGAGGUUUGAGUGUGAGCGCACCUGUUAGGACCCGAAAGAUGGUGAACUAUGCCUGAGAAGGGCAAGCUCAGGGGAAACUCUGAUGGAGGCUCGUAGCGAUACUGACGUGCAAAUCGUUCGUCGCACUUGGGUAUAGGGGCGAAAGACUAAUCGAACCAUCUAGUAGCUGGUUCUCUCCGAAGUUUCCCUCAGGAUAGCUGGAGGUGAACAAUCUUACCAGGUAAAGCGAAUGAUUAGAGGAAUCGGGGGUGCGUUGUCCUCGACCUAUUCUCAAACUUUAAAUUGGUAAGAUUCAGUGGUUGCUUGGAUGAACUUCUGGGUUAGAUGGCAUCUCUAAGUGGGCCGUUUUUGGUAAGCAGAACUGGCGAUGAGGGAUGAACCUAACGUUGGGUUAAGGUGCUAAACUGCUCGCUCAUCAGAUACCAUAAAGGGUGUUGGUUCAUUUUAACAGCAGGACGGUGGUCAUGGAAGUUGAAAUCCGCCAAGGAGUGUGUAACAACUCACCUGCCGAAUGGACUAGCCCCGAAAAUGGAUGGCACUCAAGCGGGUGACCGAUACCCAACCAUUGUUACACCUGUGCAGCAUCAAUGAGUAGGAGGGCAUGGGGGCUUGU
Molecule: ribosomal RNA, 1317 nt
Filed under: Prorocentrum cf. sculptile
Lineage: Eukaryota; Dinophyceae; Prorocentrales; Prorocentraceae
Description: partial large subunit ribosomal RNA
Rfam family: Eukaryotic large subunit ribosomal RNA
Source: RNAcentral